RNAcentral lists this non-coding RNA (30 nucleotides) under Homo sapiens (human). Lineage: Eukaryota; Metazoa; Chordata; Mammalia; Primates; Hominidae. The record is from RNAcentral.
UUCUGAGCAGAAGGAACAGUAUGUGCUAAA